This 1467-nucleotide ribosomal RNA is filed under the name uncultured Actinomycetes bacterium. RNAcentral's name for it is "bacterial SSU rRNA". It matches the Rfam family "Bacterial small subunit ribosomal RNA". Lineage: Bacteria; Bacillati; Actinomycetota; Actinomycetes. The record is from RNAcentral.
AGAGUUUGAUCAUGGCUCAGGACGAACGCUGGCGGCGUGCUUAACACAUGCAAGUCGAGCGAUGAAGUUUCUUCGGAAAUGGAUUAGCGGCGAACGGGUGAGGAACACGUGAAGAAUCUGCCCUCCACUUUGGGAUAACACCGGGAAACCGGUGCUAAUACCGAAUAUUGAAACAUAAGUGGCAUCACUGAGUUUUGAAAGAAUUUCGGUGGAGGAUGACUUCGCGGCCUAUCAGCUAGUUGGUGAGGUAAUGGCUCACCAAGGCAACGACGGGUAGCCGGCCUGAGAGGGCGACCGGCCACACUGGGACUGAGACACGGCCCAGACUCCUACGGGAGGCAGCAGUGGGGAAUAUUGGGCAAUGGAGGAAACUCUGACCCAGCGACGCCGCGUGCGGGAUGAAGGCCUUCGGGUUGUAAACCGCUUUCAGUAGGGAAGAAGCGAAAGUGACGGUACCUACAAAAGAAGCACCGGCUAACUAUGUGCCAGCAGCCGCGGUAAUACAUAGGGUGCAAGCGUUGUCCGGAAUUAUUGGGCGUAAAGAGCUCGUAGGUCGUUUGUUACGUCGGAUGUGAAAACCUGAGGCUCAACCUCAGGCCUGCAUUCGAUACGGGCAAACUAGAGUUUGGUAGGGGAGACUGGAAUUCCUGGUGUAGCGGUGGAAUGCGCAGAUAUCAGGAGGAACACCAAUGGCGAAGGCAGGUCUCUGGGCCAUUACUGACACUGAGGAGCGAAAGCGUGGGGAGCGAACAGGAUUAGAUACCCUGGUAGUCCACGCCGUAAACGGUGGGCACUAGUUGUGGGAACCUUCCACGGUUUCUGCGACGCAGCUAACGCAUUAAGUGCCCCGCCUGGGGAGUACGAUCGCAAGAUUAAAACUCAAAGGAAUUGACGGGGCCCCGCACAAGCAGCGGAGCAUGCGGCUUAAUUCGACGCAACGCGAAGAACCUUACCAAGGCUUGACAUAUACAGGAAUAUGGCAGAAAUGUCAUAGCCGCAAGGUCUGUAUACAGGUGGUGCAUGGUUGUCGUCAGCUCGUGUCGUGAGAUGUUGGGUUAAGUCCCGCAACGAGCGCAACCCUUGUCAUUAGUUGCUACGAAAGGGCACUCUAAUGAGACUGCCGGUGACAAACCGGAGGAAGGUGGGGAUGACGUCAAGUCCUCAUGCCCCUUAUGUCUAGGGCUGCAAACACGCUACAAUGGCCGAUACAAAGGGUUGCCUGCUCGCGAGAGUUAGCUAAUCCCGUAAAGUCGGUCUCAGUUCGAAUUGAAGUCUGCAACUCGACUUCAUGAAGCUGGAGUUGCUAGUAAUCCCGGAUCAGCACGCCGGGGUGAAUACGUUCCCGGGCCUUGUACACACCGCCCGUCACACCACGAAAGUCGGCAACACCCAAAGCCGGUGGCCUAACCGCAAGGAAGGAGCCGUCUAAGGUGGGGUCGGUGAUUGGGGUGAAGUCGUAACAAGGUA